RNAcentral lists this ribosomal RNA (459 nucleotides) under uncultured bacterium. RNAcentral describes it as "partial 16S ribosomal RNA". It matches the Rfam family "Bacterial small subunit ribosomal RNA", at positions 338 to 795 of the family's 1533-position model. The record is from RNAcentral.
CCUACGGGAGGCAGCAGUGGGGAAUAUUGGUCAAUGGGCGCGAUCCUGACCCAGCCACGCCGCGUGAAGGAAGACGGCCCUAUGGUUUGUAACCCUCUUUUGUCGGAGCACAACACCCGAGACGUGUCCCGGAAUACGUGUAUCCGAAGAAAGAGCAUCGGCUAGCUCCGUUCCGGCGGCCGCGGUAAUACGGGGGAUGCGAGCGUUAUCGGGGUUUAUUGGGUUUAAGGGGUGCGUAGGCGGUCCGUGAAGUCAGCGGUAAAAUUGCGGGGCUCAACCACGUCGAGCCGUUGAAACUGGCAGACUUGAGUUGGGGAGAAGUACGCGGAAUGCGCGGUGUAGCGGUGAAAUGCAUAGAUAUAGCGCAGAACUCCGAUUGCGAAGGCAGCGUACCGGCGACAGACUGACGCUGAGGCACGAAAGCGUGGGGAUCGAACAGGAUUAGAUACCCGAGUAGUC